This 449-nucleotide ribosomal RNA is filed under the name uncultured bacterium. Its description in RNAcentral is "bacterial SSU rRNA". It matches the Rfam family "Bacterial small subunit ribosomal RNA", at positions 355 to 825 of the family's 1533-position model. The record is from RNAcentral.
UGGGGAAUAUUGGACAAUGGGCGCAAGCCUGAUCCAGCGACGCCGCGUGUGGGAUGAAGGUCUUCGGAUUGUAAACCACUGUCGCGAGGGACGAAGCUCUGACGGUACCUCGAAAGGAAGCACCGGCUAACUCUGUGCCAGCAGCCGCGGUAAUACAGAGGGUGCGAGCGUUGUCCGGAAUCACUGGGCGUAAAGGGCGCGUAGGCGGCCCGGUAAGUAGGGGGUGAAAUCUCAUGGCUCAACUGUGAGGCUGCCUUCUAGACUGCCAGGCUUGAGCACAGUAGAGGCGAGUGGAAUUCCCGGUGUAGCGGUGGAAUGCGUAGAGAUCGGGAAGAACAUCGGUGGCGAAGGCGGCUCGCUGGGCUGUUGCUGACGCUGAGGCGCGAAAGCGUGGGGAGCAAACAGGAUUAGAUACCCGGGUAGUCCCUGAGCGGGCUGGCAAGGCGCAU